AUGAUAAUUGAUCAGGAUACAUCAGUUCAACUUCUCAAAACGAGAUUCUCUGCUCAGCUCCUGGGGUUGCUAGUGCUCUGGAUCCCAGGAUCCAGUGGGGAUAUUGUGAUGACUGAGACCCCACUCUCCUUGCCCAUCAUCCGUGGAGAACCUGCUUCCAUCUCCUGCUGGUCAAGUCAGAGCCUCCUACAUAAAAAUGAAUAUAACUAUUUUCAUGUGUCCCUAUGGAAACCUGGCCAGUCUCCAUGGGAACUGAAACGUAAGAUUGCCCACCUUAUCCCCAGGGUCUCAGACUGGUUCAGUGGUAGCAGCUCAGGGACAAAUUUCACACUUAAAAUUAGCAGAAUGGAGGCGGAGGAUGUUGGAGUCUAUUACUGCGUGCAAACUCUACAACAUUCUCCCACAGCCCUGAACACAAAAGUCCCUUCUUAG
Molecule: non-coding RNA, 432 nt
Organism: Ceratotherium simum simum (southern white rhinoceros)
Lineage: Eukaryota; Metazoa; Chordata; Mammalia; Perissodactyla; Rhinocerotidae
Source: the annotation of a RefSeq genome assembly